This 473-nucleotide ribosomal RNA is filed under the name uncultured organism. RNAcentral describes it as "partial 16S ribosomal RNA". It matches the Rfam family "Bacterial small subunit ribosomal RNA", at positions 331 to 796 of the family's 1533-position model. The record is from RNAcentral.
GUACACUCCUGCGGGAGGCGGCAGUGGGGAAUAUUGCACAAUGGGCGCAAGCCUGAUGCAGCCAUGCCGCGUGUAUGAAGAAGGCCUUCGGGUUGUAAAGUACUUUCAGCGGGGAGGAAGGCGAUAAGGUUAAUAACCUUGUCGAUUGACGUUACCCGCAGAAGAAGCACCGGCUCACUCCGUGCCAGCAGCCGCGGUAAUACGGAGGGUGCAAGCGUUAAUCGGAAUUACUGGGCGUAAAGCGCACGCAGGCGGUCUGUCAAGUCGGAUGUGAAAUCCCCGGGCUCAACCUGGGAACUGCAUUCGAAACUGGCAGGCUAGAGUCUUGUAGAGGGGGGUAGAAUUCCAGGUGUAGCGGUGAAAUGCGUAGAGAUCUGGAGGAAUACCGGUGGCGAAGGCGGCCCCCUGGACAAAGACUGACGCUCAGGUGCGAAAGCGUGGGGAGCAAACAGGAUUAGAAACCCGGGUAGUCC